RNAcentral lists this long non-coding RNA (522 nucleotides) under Mytilus galloprovincialis (Mediterranean mussel). The record is from RNAcentral. Lineage: Eukaryota; Metazoa; Mollusca; Bivalvia; Mytilida; Mytilidae.
GGAAAAUAAUAAUUUGGUUGCAGCAAUACAAAUAUUCUGUGAUAUUUCAUCAAACUGUAACAUAUUCUGCUCAAAUAAUAAACAUAAUCAUAUGCAACUAGACAACAAUAAGAAAAAAUGAAAUCUGGGCGAACAGGCACUAGAGCGAUAGGACCCAGAUUCCUCUCCACCAGCCAAAAAGAGUGAAAACUAAUCAUCAGAUGUACCAACCCCUCCAACAGAGCCAAAGUAAAAGCCAUGUGCAUAAUAUUAUAGGUUUGUGUGCAGGAAUUUAAAUCACCAUCACCAAUUCUGUCUGUCAAACACCUGCAUGUACACCUUCAUCACUGGCAACACCACAAACUUCUCAGUCACCCAUUCUGACAACAUGUUCCUUUUCAAAAUGACAAGCCGCUUAAAAGUAGCUGAUUGAAAACAGCCUACAUGUACUUGCAGCCAUAAUAUGUAACAUACCGGUAUCUAAUGUUUAAGUUAAUAAUGAGAGGUUACUACAUGUACAUGUAGCUGAAGAUGUUUCCAAGC